UGUUGCUUGCAAGGGCGUAUGGUGGAUGCCUUGGCAGACAGGACCGAUGAAGGACGUUUGAGGCUGCGAUAUGCCUCGGGGAGCCGCCAACAGGGCUUUGAUCCGAGGAUUUCCGAAUGGGGGAACCCACCGACCGUCAUGGGUCGGUACCGGCUUCGGCCGGGGGGUACGCAGGGAAGUGAAACAUCUCAGUACCUGCAGGAAAGGAUAUUCCGUGAGUAGUGGCGAGCGAAAGCGGAUGAUGGCCAAACCUUGCGCGUGUGAUACCCGUCGGGGGUUGCGCGCGGGGUGUUGCGGGAUCGCGUGCGCCGGCUCCGACGGGCCGGCCGGCAGUUGCAGAAAACCAUGUGUCAGGGGAACCGGGUUGAAUACCGGGCCGCAGAGGGUGAGGGCCCCGUACCUGAACGCGCAUGGUCUGCCGAUCGCGUCUCCCAAGUAGCACGGGUCCCGUGGAACCCCGUGCGAAUCCGCCCAGACCGUUGGGUAAGCCUGAAUAUUCCUGUCUGACCGAUAGCGAACGAGUACCGUGAGGGAAAGGUGAAAAGUACCCCGGGAGGGGAGUGAAACAGUCUCUGAAACCGUGCGCCUACAAUCCGUCGGAGCCCUUUUGUGGGGUGACGGCGUGCCUAUCGAAAAAUGAGUCUGCGAGUCAGUGGCAUGUGGCGAGCAUAACCCGUGUGGGGUAUGCGUAGCGAAGGCGAGUCUUAAAAGGCGUUUGAGUCGCGUGUCCUGGACCCGAAGCGGGAUGAUCUAGCCCUGAGCAGGUUGAAGCGCGGGUAAGACCGCGUGGAGGACCGAACCCACCUGGGUUGAAAACCGGGGGGAUGACUUGGGGCUAGGGGUGAAAGGCCAAUCAAAUUCCGUGAUAGCUGGUUCUCUCCGAAAUGCAUUUGGGUGCAGCGUCGGGUCAUUACGUCCCGGGGGUAGAGCUACUGGAUGCUUGCGGGCCCGUAUCGGGUACCAACAGCAACCAAACUCCGAAUACCGGUGACGCGUAUCCCGGCAGUGAGUCGGCGGGGGAUAAGCUUCGUCGUCGAAAGGGAAACAGCCCAGACCGUCGUCUAAGGUCCCGAAGCGUGUGCUAAGUGGGAAAGGAUGUGGAGUCGCAUAGACAGCCAGGAGGUUGGCUCAGAAGCAGCCACCCUUGAAAGAGUGCGUAACAGCUCACUGGUCUAGUGGUUCCGCGCCGACAAUGUAGCGGGGCUCAAGCACACCACCGAAGACGCGGCAGUAUUUUGUACUGGGUAGGAGAGCGUCCCAUGAGGGGCGAAGCGGCCGUGUGAACGCGCCGUGGACUUCAUGGGAGUGAGAAUGCAGACAUGAGUAGCGAGAGACGGGUGAAGAUCCCGUCCGCUGGAUGACCAAGGGUUCCAGGGCCACGUUCAUCGUCCCUGGGUGAGUCGGGUCCUAAGGCGAGGCCGACAGGCGUAGUCGAAUGGAUGAACGGGUCGAUAUUCCCGUACCGGCUUUCAGCCGCCAAAACCGAGGCUUGGAGUACUAACCUCCGGGUCCGGGCUUACUGCUCCUUCGGGGGCGGGAUGCCCUGGCCUGUUGGGACCGAUCCUUGUAGUAGGUCAGCGCAGGAGUGACGCAGAAGGGUAGCCGGCCGCGGAGGUGGUCUUCCGUGGUCAAGCACGCAGGGCGUGGGACAGGCAAAUCCGUCCCGCAUGGGUCCGAGGUGCGAUGAUGGGGGCCUUAUGGCCCGAUAUCCGGUGAUCCCGGCUGCCGAGAAAAGCUUCGGCGUCAGGCUCAAAGCCGCCCGUACCCCAAACCGACACUGGUGGUCAGGUAGAGAAUACCAAAGCGAUCGAGCGAAUCCUGGUCAAGGAACUCGGCAAAUCACUCCCGUUCCUUCGGUUUAAGGGAGACCCCCGAUGGUGAACCGCCUCGCGCGGGGAGCUUUUGGGGGUGGCACAGACCAGGGGGUAGCGACUGUUUACCAAAAACACAGGUGCAUGCGAAGGCGCAAGCCGCUGUAUAUGCACUGACGCCUGCCCGGUGCCGGAAGGUUAAGAGGAUCCGUCAGCCUUCGGGUGAAGCGGUGAAUUCAAGCCCCGGUAAACGGCGGUGGUAACUAUAACCAUCCUAAGGUAGCGAAAUUCCUUGUCGGGUAAGUUCCGACCUGCACGAAUGGCGU
This 2137-nucleotide ribosomal RNA is filed under the name human gut metagenome. RNAcentral's name for it is "bacterial LSU rRNA". It matches the Rfam family "Bacterial large subunit ribosomal RNA", at positions 1 to 2002 of the family's 2925-position model. The record is from RNAcentral.